Trachymyrmex cornetzi is the source of this 233-nucleotide long non-coding RNA. RefSeq lists it as uncharacterized. Lineage: Eukaryota; Metazoa; Arthropoda; Insecta; Hymenoptera; Formicidae. The record is from RefSeq and is a predicted model, not a curated record. The transcript has 4 exons.
CGCCCGCAUCGGGAGCCGCACCAGUCACCCGCGGAACACCGCGGAACGUCCGCACGGCUCUGCGAACCCAGGGAUCGACGCGACGGUUAGGAACAUGGAAUCCUUCGCGACGUUCUGAAUUGGGAUCUCUGACCCACGCCGCGGUCAUCUUCUUGUCGGAUCCCUGCUUCCGCAUCCGUCCCGCCGCGCCGGGCGUGUCAGCGUUUCGCCGCCACAUCCACAAUGGCCGUCUG